This 449-nucleotide ribosomal RNA is filed under the name uncultured bacterium. RNAcentral describes it as "partial 16S ribosomal RNA". It matches the Rfam family "Bacterial small subunit ribosomal RNA", at positions 29 to 523 of the family's 1533-position model. The record is from RNAcentral.
AGCGAACGCUGGCGGCAGGCCUAACACAUGCAAGUCGAACGAACUCUUCGGAGUUAGUGGCGGACGGGUGAGUAACACGUGGGAACGUGCCUUUAGGUUCGGAAUAACUCAGGGAAACUUGUGCUAAUACCGAAUGUGCCCUUCGGGGGAAAGAUUUAUCGCCUUUAGAGCGGCCCGCGUCUGAUUAGCUAGUUGGUGAGGUAAAGGCUCACCAAGGCGACGAUCAGUAGCUGGUCUGAGAGGAUGAUCAGCCACAUUGGGACUGAGACACGGCCCAAACUCCUACGGGAGGCAGCAGUGGGGAAUCUUGCGCAAUGGGCGAAAGCCUGACGCAGCCAUGCCGCGUGAAUGAUGAAGGUCUUAGGAUUGUAAAAUUCUUUCACCGGGGACGAUAAUGACGGUACCCGGAGAAGAAGCCCCGGCUAACUUCGUGCCAGCAGCAGCCGCGG